AUUUUCAUGAUGGUAUGCAUCAAGUUGAAUAUUUCUGGUACAUGAAAUGUUUAUGAUAGUAUCCUUUACUCCUCCUGGUAGUUCACAGCAUGCAGUCAGAGCCCUCUUCCUGCAGCUGUGGCUCAGAUUAGAUAGCGCACCACCACAGAAACGCUGCAGUUACAAGGAGCUGAUGAUGGGCUCUUGGGGAUCCACUCCUCUGCACCAUCAGUUUUCUCUGGGCUCAGUCACUCUCAAUGGAGGAGCAGCCAGGAAUAAGCAGCGUGCCCUGGGAAAGCUCUGGGCCAGAACAGGCGCCCAUUGUGUGCGCUCAGCAGUGCAGACCUGCAUGUAAAUCCUUAAACAAGCUUGUCUGCUCCCGGUGGAAGGGACUUUUUAACAGUUCCUUUGCUCACAAAGGGAAGAGGUUUUUCUUGCUGGAAGCCGCUUGGAGAGGGCUGCUCUUCCUGUUGUACUUUUGUUUCUGCCCACACUGGACUGGGUCCUCAUCCACCUCUUGAUUAUAGCUUUUAAGGCAGAAGAACACGGGAUUCCCCAUGCUCUCUGCUUUUUCGGUGGACUCUCGAGGUUAACUCCAGGCUCACUGGAGGAGAGGGAAAAUACACAGUUUCCUUCAACUUUCCGUUGGCACUUCCCAUCCGCUCUGUCUUCCCACUUCCAAUGUAGCAGCACACAGGUGGGUAAUUCCCCAAGGUGUAGCGGCAGCACCCUGACAGCGCCACCGUGGGGUUCAGAAGGAACUGUUGUCGAAGGCUUCUUGAGUGACCCUUUGCAGGGGAAGAAGAGAAACCAGAAUCUACCAGAAGGCAUCUAACAACUAUGUUUUAAACCUGUUAAAACCACAGGCCAAAUUUCUUCUUCCCAGAGACUUGUGCAGUGACUAAAGUUCACUUACACUCAACACAUGAAGCACGAAAGACCGUUCUUUAGAACACCAAGGUCAUGAUGCAGCAGUUCUCCAGAGCCCCCCCCCCCACGCCCCUUUUGCUGUGCUCUUGUAAGAGGAGACAGACACAUUGUUAAGUCUGAGGGAACAACUGCAUUAUAUUUGCUAAUUAUUUUAAGUUUUGAUUUUUUUUCCCAUAUAGGCUCAUCAGGAGUGUUAAUAAUUCCUCUAAUCUCCUGAGGUUUUAGUGCCGAUAGUAUGUUUAUUUUAUAAAACAAUUUGGUUUUUUUAUUUUUUUAAUUGAAAGGUCUUUGUAAGAUUGUUAUUAUUUUUUUCUCUAAAUGUUGCAGUUCCUAAGUAAUUUUUGUUUACUCAAAUAUUUCUUUAUAGCCUGGCUUUUAAUGACAAAUUUAAUUUAUUUAACAGAGGUUGAACUGCACAGAUUUUUGUUACUCCAUGGGUCCUAAUCAGUAAGUUGCAUUUGUCAAAUAACGUGAAAAACAAUCUGUCUAGUUCAUCUAGGCAUAAAAGUAUUUAUUAUAGUCCUUUAUUUUUUGCUAGCUAUUAAAUAUGCUAUAAUGUU
Ictidomys tridecemlineatus (thirteen-lined ground squirrel) is the source of this 1469-nucleotide non-coding RNA. NCBI's taxonomy places the organism in Eukaryota, Metazoa, Chordata, Mammalia, Rodentia, Sciuridae. The record is from RefSeq and is a predicted model, not a curated record.